GAUGGAUUGUUGUGCUGUCAACAUAAUUUUUUCCCACAUACCUAUUAUAUCUAAGAAUUCGUUCCCAAGUUAGAAACUAAAGAAAAUUCACAUCGCUUUUAUUUGCUUUCAUUACAGACUCCUGGUAGCACUGAAACUAGGAAUGUUUAUCCAUGGGAAAUUAUUAUAUCCCUUUUAUUUGCCAAAGUGUUUGGGCCGUUGUCAAAGAAUAAAUAUCCCCAGGAGAAUGAGAAUAAGCCAACAUGGACAUAAGCCAUGAAUGACUUAGAAGAUCAAGGUAACAAUUUCUGGAAAUUUUUACAUAAGUGUACAUGUUUAUAGUGAUGCCAACACAUGUC
This 338-nucleotide long non-coding RNA is filed under the name Rattus norvegicus (Norway rat). RNAcentral's name for it is "long non-coding RNA NONRATT032999". The record is from RNAcentral. Lineage: Eukaryota; Metazoa; Chordata; Mammalia; Rodentia; Muridae.